RNAcentral lists this ribosomal RNA (498 nucleotides) under uncultured bacterium. RNAcentral describes it as "bacterial SSU rRNA". It matches the Rfam family "Bacterial small subunit ribosomal RNA", at positions 28 to 516 of the family's 1533-position model. The record is from RNAcentral.
GAUGAACGCUAGCUACAGGCUUAACACAUGCAAGUCGAGGGGCAGCGGGAUUGAAGCUUGCUUCAAUUGCCGGCGACCGGCGCACGGGUGAGUAACGCGUAUCCAACCUUCCGUACACUCAGGGAUAGCCUUUCGAAAGAAAGAUUAAUACCUGAUGGUAUGAUGAGAUCGCAUGGUAUCAUCAUUAAAGAUUUAUCGGUGUACGAUGGGGAUGCGUUCCAUUAGGUAGUAGGCGGGGUAACGGCCCACCUAGCCUACGAUGGAUAGGGGUUCUGAGAGGAAGGUCCCCCCACAUUGGAACUGAGACACGGUCCAAACUCCUACGGGAGGCAGCAGUGAGGAAUAUUGGUCAAUGGACGAGAGUCUGAACCAGCCAAGUAGCGUGAAGGAUGAAGGUCCUACGGAUUGUAAACUUCUUUAUACGGGAAUAAACCUCCCACGUGUGGGAGCUUGUAUGUACCUUAUGAAUAAGCAUCGGCUAACUCCGUGCCAGCAGCC